UACGAAGGGGGCUAGCGUUGUUCGGAAUUACUGGGCGUAAAGCGCACGUAGGCGGCUUAGCAAGUUGGGGGUGAAAUCCCGGGGCUCAACCUCGGAAUUGCCUUCAAAACUGCUAGGCUUGAGUUCGGAAGAGGUGAGUGGAAUUCCCAGUGUAGAGGUGAAAUUCGUAGAGAUUGGGAAGAACACCGGUGGCGAAGGCGGCUCACUGGCCCGUUACUGACGCUCAGGCGCGACAGCGUGGGGAUCAAACAGG
Molecule: ribosomal RNA, 253 nt
Filed under: uncultured bacterium
Lineage: Bacteria
Description: partial 16S ribosomal RNA
Rfam family: Bacterial small subunit ribosomal RNA
Source: RNAcentral